This 301-nucleotide ribosomal RNA is filed under the name uncultured bacterium. Its description in RNAcentral is "partial 16S ribosomal RNA". It matches the Rfam family "Bacterial small subunit ribosomal RNA", at positions 509 to 807 of the family's 1533-position model. The record is from RNAcentral.
CAGCCGCCGCGGGAAUACCGGGGAUGCAGGCGUUAUCCGGAAUGAUUGGGCGUAAAGCGUCUGUAGGUGGCUUUUCAAGUCCGCCGUCAAAUCCCAGGGCUCAACCCUGGACAGGCGGUGGAAACUACCAAGCUGGAGUACGGUAGGGGCAGAGGGAAUUUCCAGUGGAGCGGUGAAAUGCGUUGAGAUCGAAAAGAACACCAACAGCGAAAGCACUCUGCUGGGACGACACUGACACUAAGGGACGAAAGCUAGGGGAGCAAAUGGGAUUAGAUACCCCCGUAGUCCCUGUCUCUUAUAC